CGGGACUUGCACGUCGAUAGCCUCGGGAUAAGGAUGGAUAUUGAUAUCUUUCCAAAGUCCUGCUUGCUUCCAUCUUUGGUCCUGAAGUGAACUUGCCAUAUAUUGUGAAACUUAGCCCCUAAGUAUUCUUGGAGUAGUCCUCGCCGAAGAUGAGCAUGAAUGGGCUGCAUGGGACCCUAGGCUAAUCAACCCAAGCCCUUUUUGGGGCCUCUAGCCUUCGUCUUUCUCUAAGUUGUCGCUUGUCCUGAGCCUUAUCCAAUUAUGCUCCAAUUUAAUCCAAUUUCCUGCGAAAAUAAAUGUCCUCCAAGUACAACACGUAUCAACACGUAUCAACACGUAUGCGAUAAUGCGGUUAUUUCAAGUGCUAAAUUGUGGGUUAGUAUAAGAAUAUGUAUGAAAAUACCACUUAAAUGAUACUAAAAGUGUGUCAAUAAUGAGCGUCAACACUAAACCUGCAGCAACAAUAGAGAAAUGCAACAAAGAUACACAAACAACAACAGAGAGAUGCAACAAAGAUACACAAACAGAUUGCCUAACAAUAGAGACCAACGGAGGAAGAGCGUGGAGGGUCAUGCAAGACAAUACCUCCAAGAAGAAAACAACGUCCAAGACGU
RNAcentral lists this long non-coding RNA (614 nucleotides) under Setaria italica (foxtail millet). Its description in RNAcentral is "long non-coding RNA (SITA_LNC000900)". The record is from RNAcentral. Lineage: Eukaryota; Viridiplantae; Streptophyta; Magnoliopsida; Poales; Poaceae.